RNAcentral lists this long non-coding RNA (385 nucleotides) under Mytilus galloprovincialis (Mediterranean mussel). Lineage: Eukaryota; Metazoa; Mollusca; Bivalvia; Mytilida; Mytilidae. The record is from RNAcentral.
GCCCAGUAUUUACAGCGGAAAAUAUUUUCUAAAAAUUUACAAAAAUGUACGUAUGUUAUCACAGUUCUUUGAUUUUUUAGUCUCCAAUAACAAAUGUAUGUUAUUUUCCUGUAAUAACCUAUAGAGUUAUAUCCCUGACUGGUAUAGGUAAAACAAAAUAUUGGCUGAGUUAUGUCCCUUAGACAUUCAGAUUUUUUAACUUGUAGAAGUAAAAAAGUCAUCCUAUCUUCUUUUAUUGAAUUCUUAUGAUUUCUUUGCUCUAAUAGAACUUUAAAUUAUCUGCCCUUUGCAGAUGUCUUUACUAAUCAUUUAAGUGUAAUUUCAUGGACAAUGAAGAUCCCAUUUGUCUGUUAUCUUUAGAACACUGCUCAUUUACACGCCCCCG